This 67-nucleotide transfer RNA is filed under the name Xenophora japonica. RNAcentral describes it as "tRNA-Ala". The record is from RNAcentral. Lineage: Eukaryota; Metazoa; Mollusca; Gastropoda; Littorinimorpha; Xenophoridae.
GACUUAAUACUUUAAAUUAAAAGAUCUGAUUUGCAUUCAGAAAAUAGGCUAUAUGGCUUUUAGGUCA